This 403-nucleotide ribosomal RNA is filed under the name Bacteroidota bacterium. Its description in RNAcentral is "Bacteroidetes bacterium partial 16S ribosomal RNA". It matches the Rfam family "Bacterial small subunit ribosomal RNA", at positions 355 to 776 of the family's 1533-position model. The record is from RNAcentral. Lineage: Bacteria; Pseudomonadati; Bacteroidota.
UGGGGAAUAUUGCACAAUGGGGGAAACCCUGAUGCAGCGACGCCGCGUGAACGAAGAAGGUAUUCGUAUCGUAAAGUUCUGUCCUAUGGGAAGAUAAUGACAGUACCAUAGAAGAAAGCUCCGGCUAAAUACGUGCCAGCAGCCGCGGUAAUACGUAUGGAGCGAGCGUUGUCCGGAAUUAUUGGGCGUAAAGGGUACGCAGGCGGUUUAAUAAGUCGAAUGUUAAAGAUCGGGGCUCAACCCCGUAAAGCAUUGGAAACUGAUAAACUUGAGUAGUGGAGAGGAAAGUGGAAUUCCUAGUGUAGUGGUGAAAUACGUAGAUAUAUGGAGGAACACCGGUGGCGAAAGCGGCUCUCUGGUCUGUAACUGACGCUGAGGCUCGAAAGCGUGGGGAGCGAACAGG